AAAAGUCGUAACAAGGUUUCCGUAGGUGAACCUGCGGAAGGAUCAUUAACGAAUAUAAUUCGAGGGGUUGUCGCUGGCCUCGCUCGCGCGAGGCAUGUGCACGCUUCUCGUUUUUCUCUCAACUCACCUGUGCACCUAAUGUAGGAUGCCUCUCCUCCGGGAGGGGGGACCUAUGUCUUCGUAACAUCUUCGUGUAGAAAGUCUUUGAAUGUUUACUAUCAUCGAGUCGCGACUUCUAGGAGACGCGAUUCUUUGAGAUAAAAGUUAUUACAACUUUCAGCAACGGAUCUCUUGGCUCUCGCAUCGAUGAAGAACGCAGCGAAAAGCGAUAUGUAAUGUGAAUUGCAGAUCUACAGUGAAUCAUCGAAUCUUUGAACGCACCUUGCGCUCCUCGGUGUUCCGAGGAGCAUGCCUGUUUGAGUGUCAGUAAAUUCUCAACCCCUCUCGAUUAGCUUGAGAGGGGCUUGGAUAGUGGAGGUUGCCGGAGACUGGAUUCGUCCGAGACUCGGGCUCUUCUGAAAUGCAUCGGCUUGCGGUCGACUUUCGACUAUGGCGACAAGGCUUUCGGCGUGAUAAUGAUCGCCGUUCGCUGAAGCGCAUGACUGAAYGUCCCGUGCCUCUAAUAYGUCGACCGCUUAUUAUCUCUCCGGAGAGAACAGGGUCUUCCUUAUUGACUUUUGACCUCUAAUCAGGUAGGACUACCCGCUGAACUUAAGCAUAUCAAUAAGCGGAGGAAAAGAAACUAACAAGGAUUCCCCUAGUAACUGCGAGUGAAGAGGGAAAAGCUCAAAUUUUGAAUCUGGCGGUCUUUAGGCCGU
RNAcentral lists this ribosomal RNA (818 nucleotides) under Rhizopogon salebrosus. RNAcentral describes it as "eukaryotic LSU rRNA". The stretch from base 272 to 426 matches the Rfam family "5.8S ribosomal RNA". The record is from RNAcentral. Lineage: Eukaryota; Fungi; Basidiomycota; Agaricomycetes; Boletales; Rhizopogonaceae.